CCACUUCCGGCAGCGCCAGAAAAGUCCCGGCGUGGGGAGCGCAGGGCCGCCCCCUUCACCUCCGCCAGGUUCAGAAUGGUCCGUAGUGGGAAAAACGGCAGCCUGCACCUGAAACAGAUCGCGUAUUACAAGCGCACCGGGGAGUACCACCCAACAACUCUGCCCAGCGAAAGAAGUGGAAUUCGACGAGCUGCGAAAAAAUUUGAUUUUAAAGAAAAGAGGCUGUUUUACAUCGGAAAGGACAGGAAGCAAAAUCGUUUGGUGAUCGUUUCCGAGGAGGAAAAGAGGAAAGUCCUAAGAGAGUGCCACGAAAACGACACCGGGGCCCAUCACGGCAUCUCCAGAACGCUCACGUUAGUGGAAUCGAGUUACUAUUGGACGUCCGUGACAAACGAUGUCAAACAGUGGGUUUCCGCCUGCCAGCACUGCCAGGAGUCGAAGCCCACGGCCCUCCUCAAGGUGGAAGAUCCCUGGGCGAUCGUGACCGUCCAUCUAAUGGGCCCAUUUCUCCCCAGCAGCAGGAGCCAGAAUCAGUACAUCGUGAUGAUGACGGACUUAUUCACAAAAUGGGUGGUCAUCUCGCCUCUCCGGGACAUUUCGGCGCCUGAAAUUUCGAAAGCGAUCGCCGAUGCGUUCUUCUCCUAUGGACCCCCUCAGAAAAUAGUAAUGGAUCAAGGAGAAGAAUUUAUUGAUCAGAUCAACACCGAGCUGUGUGGGCUGUUUGGGACAAAGCAGAUAGUGACUGCCCACCCCUCUCCCUCAGACGACGGGAAUGAAAGGAUGCUUGGGGUAAUGAAAACCUUCCUUCCCCGGUACUGCACUGAGCACUCCAGCGACUGGGACGCCCAUUUGUCAGCCGUGGCAUUUGCCUUCAACUCGACUCAUCUGGAGUCUACCGGAAACACACCGUAUUUCCAAAUGUUCAACCGAAAUCCUCAUGUCCCCGAGACUUCAGAGGUACUACGUGAAGUAGAAGGUGCUCACGUGUGUACGUUUGCCAAAAUCCUGGACGCCGUUAAAGAAGCGGACAGAGCAGCAGAGACCAAGAUACCUAGUCGCCAGAUGGAGAGCGGAAUUCCCGACGAAGAGCAAAGUAGGGGCAAGAUCGCCCCGAGAAGGAAACCGAAGCAGUUAAAUCCCUUCCAUCUGAAAGUGGGCCACGAAGUUGUCCGGCAGAGGAAAAACCGGUGGAGGGACGGCCGAUUCCAUUCGGAGUGGGUGGGGCCUUGCGUCAUAGACUACGUUACUGAUGGUGGAUGUGCCGUUCUCCGGGACAACACUGGCUCCAGGCUUAAAAGGCCUAUCAAAAUGUCUCACCUGAAGCCUUAUAUAAGAACCCCCGGAGACCAAGUUAGCCAUCACCUCCUCCAAGGCCCCGCUGCGGUCGAUCACGACUACAUCGGAACGUCUGAAAUCACAGUUGGAUCCCGCCACCCUGGCAUCCAGCCGAAAGAUACAUCCCCGCGGGCGUCCGGCGACGCAUCCCCAACACCAAGCGAAGAUCACGGACUAUUAGAGAGCAAAAAUCCCAACAGCUCUCCACUCUCGGAAGAUCGUGGAACGCACCCCGCUAACCGAACUCCAGGAAAGUCAACUUUCCAUCUUUUGGACGCUUCAAGUCAAGUCACUGAGUAGUGAAAGGUGUCACCCGGUCCAUCUGGCCCCCUUAUAGCUCGCUAGCUGUGUGUCUAAGAGGCCAAGAAAACCGGAGACGUUUGAGGAGCACGAGAGGAAAAGAGAGAGCAGCGGGAGAGAGAGGGAUGCCCCUGCCGGGACCUUUACUUUCAGCAUUACCCUUACAUCCUUUCGACCACGUUGGAGCAGCUGGCAGAAGGAGGGGAAGGACAACAGAGAAAGGGGACCAGUGGGCAAAGAAAAGGACCUGGGCUCUGCUACUUCUGUUGUGUCACCUUGGGAAAAAUCACUUCAC
RNA transcript from Tachyglossus aculeatus (Australian echidna), 1930 nucleotides. It is a transcript of the gene named gypsy retrotransposon integrase 1, with no coding region annotated. The transcript is spliced from 9 exons. Lineage: Eukaryota; Metazoa; Chordata; Mammalia; Monotremata; Tachyglossidae. The record is from RefSeq and is a predicted model, not a curated record.